AUACGUAGGGGGCUAGCGUUGUCCGGAAUUAUUGGGCGUAAAGCGCGCGUAGGCGGACCAUCAAGUUGGGCGUGAAAGCCCUGGGCUCAACCCAGGAACUGCCUUUGAUACUGGUGUGCUAGAGUCCGGGAGAGGGUAGCGGAAUUCCCAGUGUAGAGGUGAAAUUCGUAGAUAUUGGGAAGAACACCGGUUGCGAAGGCGGCUACCUGGAACGGUACUGACGCUGAGGUGCGAAAGCGUGGGGAGCAAACAGGAUUAGAAACCCCAGUAGUCC
RNAcentral lists this ribosomal RNA (274 nucleotides) under uncultured bacterium. Its description in RNAcentral is "partial 16S ribosomal RNA". It matches the Rfam family "Bacterial small subunit ribosomal RNA", at positions 523 to 796 of the family's 1533-position model. The record is from RNAcentral.